Molecule: long non-coding RNA, 848 nt
Organism: Trachemys scripta elegans
Lineage: Eukaryota; Metazoa; Chordata; Testudines; Emydidae
Exons: 5
Source: RefSeq, a predicted model, not a curated record
UUUCAGGCUUUUGCUUCAGCUCCAAUUAUAAACUUUUAAAUGCUGCUUAUGCCUGGGCUUCUGAUUCGACAGCUUUGUGCUUUAACCUCCACCAAAGAUCUACUCAUCCCCGUCCCAUCCCCUGCAAUCGCAGGACGCUGACUGUCCUGGGAUAUGUGCCAUCUUUGCCUGAUUCCUCUUUGGUGCCCUGGAGGAAGAUGAAACACUCUGAGGUGAGUGAGCCCUGGAGGAAAUUCAGGCCUGUCCUCAAGCUGGCAACAGCUCAGGUUCGCCUUGGCAUCUGCUUCCUGAGUCAGGUUCAACGACACAAGUUUGUCUACUUACCGUACUGGAUUUGAGCUCAUCCCCAUUUUCCUCUUCGGAUUCUAGUGCAACAGCUGUUGGGUCUCAAGUAGUCUCCGCCUCGUCCCUCCAGCAACAUCUGGAUGUCCCCACCCCUCUCUUCGUCCACCGAGACCUGUCUGGAGAAAUGGGCGCUCUUGGUCCUGCAGACCUAUUUGCACUCUGCUUGUUCUCACAGUGGGCUUCUCAGAGAAACCAACACCAUCACACAGGACCACAAGAGGGAAAAUGUGACUUUGCCAUGCUUGGGCUAUGCUGCACACGAGAGAGACUCUGGCUCAAGAAGGCAAGUCGGGAAAGAAGUUAUGGUCAGGAAAUAGCGGAAGUCUGUUUGCUGUUUCUGAAGCAGUACGGAACCAGACUCAAGCCACCCCCCAGAUCCAAGUUGUCUCCCUGAAAGAUGUCUCCAAGCAGAGGUCACUUCCAGAGCAGAAUCUUUAGCCAGGUUCUUGGGAAUAUUAACCUGAGCCUGGAUAAGUGAUGUAGUAUGGUAACAUUUUAUUGUA